This 498-nucleotide ribosomal RNA is filed under the name uncultured bacterium. RNAcentral describes it as "partial 16S ribosomal RNA". It matches the Rfam family "Bacterial small subunit ribosomal RNA", at positions 28 to 507 of the family's 1533-position model. The record is from RNAcentral.
GACGAACGCUGGCGGCGUGCCUAAUACAUGCAAGUCGAACGAGAGCGACCGGUGCUUGCACUGGUCAAUCUAGUGGCGAACGGGUGAGUAACACGUGGGUAACCUGCCCAUCAGAGGGGGAUAACAUUCGGAAACGGAUGCUAAUACCGCAUAGGUCUUCGAACCGCAUGGUUUGAAGAGGAAAAGAGGCGCAACCUUCUGCUGAUGGAUGGACCCGCGGUGCAUUAGCUAGUUGUUGAGGUAACGGCUCACCAAGGCCGCGAUGCAUAGCCGACCUGAGAGGGUGAUCGGCCACAUUGGGACUGAGACACGGCCCAAACUCCUACGGGAGGCAGCAGUAGGGAAUCUUCCGCAAUGGACGCAAGUCUGACGGAGCAACGCCGCGUGAGUGAAGAAGGUCUUCGGAUCGUAAAACUCUGUUGUUAGAGAAGAAUAAGUGCUAGAGUAACUGUUAGCGCCUUGACGGUAUCUAAACAGAAAGCCACGGCUAACUACGUG